Non-coding RNA from Arachis ipaensis, 730 nucleotides. The record is from RefSeq and is a predicted model, not a curated record. NCBI's taxonomy places the organism in Eukaryota, Viridiplantae, Streptophyta, Magnoliopsida, Fabales, Fabaceae.
ACUGAAUCUCAUACAGGUUUCCAGAUGCCUAUUAGUUCAAAGAAGUGAAGUUCUUCAAAUAAGUUUCUUGAGCUGCAAAUUUAAUUAAAAUCAUGGCUUGUUUUGUUGAGUUGAAUUUUAAAGGUUUUUGGUGUAUCAAGUUAUUGAAGUAGGUGAGGCGCAGUUAAAUGCUGGAUCUCUUUCAUUCAUAAGCGUCUAAGGUACCAUGACACAAUCAUGGAAAAGUUCUCUAAAGACACUGCAACAUCGGGUCAGGUCCUUAUUCUUGAGUGGAAUAUCAUAGGAGUUUGCACCAAGUAUAACAGCCCCUAUUUGUAACUGCUGAGGAUAUGUGUGUGAGAGAGAAUGCGACAGACGAGUUGUGAUGUGUUUGUGCUGUAAUAUAGUUUUGGAAUGGACCUCUGUUUCAUGGCUUGUUUCUCAAAUGCAAGAUGUGCCCUGGAAGUCCUUUUUCCGAAGCCCUGCUAUCUGGGCAAUGAUAUAUGCUCACUUCUGUGGUAUCUGGGGUCACUACACUUGACUAUCAUGGCUCCCAACAUAUUUUAGGUACCCUUUGAUAAUUUAAUUAUCCACUUGUUGCUACCUUUUGCUUUUCUUCAUUGCAAUCUAACUGACGAGGGAAUUGGUUAACACUUACACAAUUUUGUUCUUUCAUAUACUGUGUUUUUAUGCAUUGUUUAUUGCUGGCCAGAUGUUGAUAAUCACUGACAGCCAUUUGGCCAUCUUUUUU